This 69-nucleotide transfer RNA is filed under the name Hydrothassa fairmairei. RNAcentral's name for it is "tRNA-Gln". The record is from RNAcentral. Lineage: Eukaryota; Metazoa; Arthropoda; Insecta; Coleoptera; Chrysomelidae.
UAUAUUUUAGUAUAAGAUGUACUUAAAUUUUUGAUAUUUAAAGAAGUAGUUUAAUUCUGCUAAAUAUAG